Molecule: ribosomal RNA, 465 nt
Filed under: Vreelandella stevensii
Lineage: Bacteria; Pseudomonadati; Pseudomonadota; Gammaproteobacteria; Oceanospirillales; Halomonadaceae
Description: partial 16S ribosomal RNA
Rfam family: Bacterial small subunit ribosomal RNA
Source: RNAcentral
CCUACGGGAGGCAGCAGUGGGGAAUAUUGGACAAUGGGGGGAACCCUGAUCCAGCCAUGCCGCGUGUGUGAAGAAGGCCCUCGGGUUGUAAAGCACUUUCAGUGAGGAAGAACGCCUGGUGGUUAAUACCCAUCAGGAAAGACAUCACUCACAGAAGAAGCACCGGCUAACUCCGUGCCAGCAGCCGCGGUAAUACGGAGGGUGCGAGCGUUAAUCGGAAUUACUGGGCGUAAAGCGCGCGUAGGUGGCUUGAUAAGCCGGUUGUGAAAGCCCCGGGCUCAACCUGGGAACGGCAUCCGGAACUGUCAAGCUAGAGUGCAGGAGAGGAAGGUAGAAUUCCCGGUGUAGCGGUGAAAUGCGUAGAGAUCGGGAGGAAUACCAGUGGCGAAGGCGGCCUUCUGGACUGACAGUGCCACUGAGGUGCGAAAGCGUGGGUAGCAAACAGGAUUAGAUACCCCUGUAGUC